Molecule: non-coding RNA, 159 nt
Filed under: uncultured Lawsonibacter sp.
Lineage: Bacteria; Bacillati; Bacillota; Clostridia; Eubacteriales; Oscillospiraceae
Description: Lysine riboswitch
Rfam family: Lysine riboswitch aptamer
About the family: Riboswitches are metabolite binding domains within certain messenger RNAs that serve as precision sensors for their corresponding targets. Allosteric rearrangement of mRNA structure is mediated by ligand binding, and this results in modulation of gene expression. This family includes riboswitches that sense lysine in a number of genes involved in lysine metabolism, including lysC.
Source: RNAcentral
AGGAUAGAGGCGCGGUGUUCAUGCGUACCGCGGAGCAAGGCCAGGCAGCCGCUCCGCAGGAGAGGGAACACCGCCGAAGGUACCUCCGCCUGCCUGGGCGGAGCUCCUGGGCCGUGGGAGAAGAUCUCACGGACUGUCACAAAUUGUGGAGCGCUAUCC